GACGAACGCUGGCGGCAUGCCUAACACAUGCAAGUCGAACGAGACCUUCGGGUCUAGUGGCGCACGGGUGCGUAACGCGUGGGAACCUGCCUUUAGGUUCGGAAUAACUCAGAGAAAUUUGAGCUAAUACCGGAUGAUGUCUUCGGACCAAAGAUUUAUCGCCUUUAGAUGGGCCCGCGUAAGAUUAGCUAGUUGGUGGGGUAAAGGCCUACCAAGGCGACGAUCUUUAGCUGGUCUGAGAGGAUGAUCAGCCACACUGGGACUGAGACACGGCCCAGACUCCUACGGGAGCCGCAGUGGGGAAUAUUGGACAAUGGGCGAAAGCCUGAUCCAGCAAUGCCGCGUGAGUGAUGAAGGCCUUAGGUGUAAAGCUCUUUACCCGGGAAGAUAAUGACUGUACCGGGAGAAUAAGCCCCGGGCUAACUCCGUGCCAGCAGCCGCGGUAAAGUGACUACUG
Molecule: ribosomal RNA, 457 nt
Filed under: uncultured bacterium
Lineage: Bacteria
Description: bacterial SSU rRNA
Rfam family: Bacterial small subunit ribosomal RNA
Source: RNAcentral